RNAcentral lists this ribosomal RNA (477 nucleotides) under uncultured organism. RNAcentral describes it as "partial 16S ribosomal RNA". It matches the Rfam family "Bacterial small subunit ribosomal RNA", at positions 332 to 800 of the family's 1533-position model. The record is from RNAcentral.
UACACUCCUACGGGAGGCAGCAGUGGGGAAUUUUGGACAAUGGGCGAAAGCCUGAUCCAGCAAUGCCGCGUGUGUGAAGAAGGCCUUCGGGUUGUAAAGCACUUUUGUCCGGAAAGAAAUCCUUGGCUCUAAUACAGUCGGGGGAUGACGGUACCGGAAGAAUAAGCACCGGCUAACUACGUGCCAGCAGCCGCGGUAAUACGUAGGGUGCGAGCGUUAAUCGAAGUUACUGGGCGUAAAGCGUGCGCAGGCGGUUUGCUAAGACCGAUGUGAAAUCCCCGGGCUCAACCUGGGAACUGCAUUGGUGACUGGCAGGCUAGAGUAUGGCAGAGGGGGGUAGAAUUCCACGUGUAGCAGUGAAAUGCGUAGAGAUGUGGAGGAAUACCGAUGGCGAAGGCAGCCCCCUGGGCCAAUACUGACGCUCAUGCACGAAAGCGUGGGGAGCAAACAGGAUUAGAAACCCGUGUAGUCCCAUGA